RNAcentral lists this ribosomal RNA (484 nucleotides) under uncultured bacterium. Its description in RNAcentral is "partial 16S ribosomal RNA". It matches the Rfam family "Bacterial small subunit ribosomal RNA", at positions 30 to 507 of the family's 1533-position model. The record is from RNAcentral.
AUUGAACGCUGGCGGCAGGCCUAACACAUGCAAGUCGAGCGGAUGAAGGGAGCUUGCUCCUGGAUUCAGCGGCGGACGGGUGAGUAAUGCCUAGGAAUCUGCCUGGUAGUGGGGGAUAACGUCCGGAAACGGGCGCUAAUACCGCAUACGUCCUGAGGGAGAAAGUGGGGGAUCUUCGGACCUCACGCUAUCAGAUGAGCCUAGGUCGGAUUAGCUAGUUGGUGGGGUAAAGGCCUACCAAGGCGACGAUCCGUAACUGGUCUGAGAGGAUGAUCAGUCACACUGGAACUGAGACACGGUCCAGACUCCUACGGGACGCAGCAGUGGGGAAUAUUGGACAAUAGGCGAAAGCCUGAUCCAGCCAUGCCGCGUGUGUGAAGAAGGUCUUCGGAUUGUAAAGCACUUUAAGUUGGGAGGAAGGGCAGUAAGUUAAUACCUUGCUGUUUUGACGUUACCAACAGAAUAAGCACCGGCUAACUUCGUG